Molecule: transfer RNA, 73 nt
Filed under: Ailuropoda melanoleuca (giant panda)
Lineage: Eukaryota; Metazoa; Chordata; Mammalia; Carnivora; Ursidae
Rfam family: tRNA
About the family: Transfer RNA (tRNA) molecules are approximately 80 nucleotides in length. Their secondary structure includes four short double-helical elements and three loops (D, anti-codon, and T loops).
Source: Rfam by way of RNAcentral
GCCUGGCUGGCUCAGCCUAUAGAGCUUGGGACUCUUGAUCCUGGGGUCGUGAGUUCAAGCCCCACUUUGGGCA